This 48-nucleotide transfer RNA is filed under the name Agama picticauda. RNAcentral describes it as "partial tRNA-Leu". Lineage: Eukaryota; Metazoa; Chordata; Lepidosauria; Squamata; Agamidae. The record is from RNAcentral.
ACUUUUAAUGGACAAAAGCGGUCCAAUGGCCUUAGGAGCUACAACUCU